UUGCUUAAAAUAAUUAAAUAAAGUAGCAUCUCAAUACUGAUAUCGAAAAUGUUCCAAAUAAAAAUUUAUUAACCGAGUGUAACAACCUUGUUGCCUUAAAAAAAAAAAUAUUUCAAGUUAAGAUUUCUUAUGUCAGCAAAGUUUAAGAAUUUAUUGGACAACACUUAAACUUUAUUUUCACAUAUUGUCUAUUAUUUAAAAUGACGAAACAACGUAAUUACAGGAAAUGAAAGUCUUCUUGUUACAAUUUGACACAGCCAUUUAAAAAAAAAGGAAAAUCUCUUUAUCACAUGUAUUUUAUACAUGUAAAAAAUGAACGUACGAAAGAAUCUCUUUUCCUUUUAACUAAUACGUUAUAACUAACAAGAUAUUUUUCAAUGAAUUGUGCGUAGAUUGCAACGCAGUAUAAAAGUUUUGCGCCAUUUUCGACGAUCUGCUGUUAAAUCUAGGAAUCUCGGUGGAAAUGAUGACUCAGAUUCGCCGAAGUUAUUAAACCGCAGCCACGAGCAUCUAUUCAACACCGCCUGGAUUAUUGUGCAUCGAUAUUUUACCAAGCGAUUAACAAUAGUGCUUAUGUCAGCACCGAGGCAAGCGUCGCGUCCAGUUUGAAAAUGUUCAACGAGGAAUAAGUGCAUUUAAAUAUAGAUUUCCAGUCAGAGAACGAAUAUGUUCUUCCUACGAGCUUGCGUCCUACACUACGGCCCAGUUUGCCCCUCGUCCCCUCCGUCUCUCUAUUCAUCAUAUCAACGCUUGGUGUACUCGUUUAGUCGAAUCUCGAAAUGAUAAUCGAUCGAAAAUCAAACGUGCCGGGCGCAUUAUCCCGCGGAGACAAUAGACACGAGAGAAUCGUGGGAGAGAAACGCGAACAGCGCGGUUUCCUUGAUUAUGAUGUCUGAUAUUAAACUUUACUCUACCAUCGAACACGGGCACCUCAGCGUGAAACUUUCAUCAGAUUCGAAGAUUGUUUUUUUAAAAUAACCGGCAGAUCGAUGAAAUCUCGAGGACAGAAACCGAAGAUAAAAAAAAAGGAAGGAAAUAUUUUAAUAUCCGAGUGAAAAGACGAAUAACUAGUUGGAUCUAGAACUAAUUGAUCGCGUACGAAUUUUAAAAUCAUAGUAACUUCUCUAGAAUGAACUGGAAAGCUAACUUGUCACGUACGUUUCUUAUUUCUUUCCAUAUGAAGGAGAAAACGCAUAGAUGUUUGAAUGACGAUAGUUAUUUGUAAUGAUGUUCCACAAAUGAAAUAUACACAUCAGACGAUGUUGAACUUGGACCAGUUGGCGCGAAAUUGAGGAGCCAAAUGCUUUCGAAGAAGUUGCCUCCGGGCCAUGUGUCAUCGAGAUAUACGGCUCUCGUAUAUCUCAGUACCCUGAAUUUUCGAGAACAAUGAUUUAAGAUCUUUUUAUGACUUGAGAAAUAAUCGAUAAUUAAUUUAAUAAUUCGUCGAUUGUACAUUUCUCAGUGGUUUCCGAGAUUGUUCACGAAAAUCGAAUCGGUAGGUGUUUUGUUUUUAAAAAAAAAAUCAAUGAUGAAUGGUACGACGGUUUAUUUUUAUUGUUGAAAUGAAAUCAUAGCACUGAAAGGGAAUCUGACAUCAAUUGAACGCCUGUGUGUAUUAUCCGUGACAGUAAACCGUCUGAGAAAUGUUUGCACAGGUGUUAACAUAGUUUCCCUUCUAUAGACUUGGACAACCCCAGCUGUUUGAAUAAUUAAUCUUUAAUAAACGUGGGUAUUACUCUGUCGAUAUAAACUGGUUUCUGAAAAUCGGUGAAUUCAUCAAUCACCAAUGUCUAACUUUAGUUUUCCUAGUCGAACGAAAAUGAUCUAACGAAUCUAAAAUCAGGGGAACAUAAAAAAUACAAAUUUAAAAGUACGCAAGAGACUGGAACACAUGAGAGAGUCGGAACAUGAAGCUAUUUAUCCAUGAAUGUCCUUGCUUCAAGCACGAAAAUCAAAAAAUUGCAAAACUCGUAGAAAUAUUCUGAAUGUGAGUGUGUGAGGGCAGCGGGGCAAAGUGAGAUACGUGUCACGUCCGAGCCACCUCUGUGUCUUGAUUCAUCUCCCUGAUUGUAUCGGCAAAGAAUCCGUUUGAUUCAACCGAUCCACCAGAGUUCUUGCAUCUGUUUCUUACAUCAGCAUUCGCAGCUCGGACGAGCGCGAGACGAGUGGAGAAUACAGGAAGUCCUCUGUUUAAACGACACGCCUGUGCCGGGAUUACACGUUGAGUGGAAGUCACGAGCGAGUGUGUUCUGCUGGCUUAACCCACUGAAUCUUCGAUCUUGAUGUCUAUUCCUCCCUCUGUAAACACCGUGUUCGAGCGCAAUACUACUUAUAAACUGUUUACACAUGGAAUAUAACCCAGUUUCGUUAACCAGUGAUAAAUGUAACGUUGUACAUGCACAUACAUGCAUGUAUGCAGAAGAUAAGUCUGUACUUGAUGAUUGAGUGGGUAUUAACAUCACUUAUGCCUACAUGCGGUGGCGAAUGUACAUGCAAAUAUGUAAAUAAGGAAAGAUAUGCUAAGUUCAGCUUAACCAGUUUGCAGUUAUUGCUCAGAAUAAAAAUUUGAAAAAAAAACCUUCAAAGUAUCAUGAAUAUAAGCGUCAUAGAAAAGUCUGUAGAAAAUAGCAAUAAUCCAUAACAGUUAACGUGUUUAUGCUACUAUUUCUUAGCAUCUCAUUUUUUUUAUAAAUCAUAGGUUUUUGGGAGAAAAAAAAAAAAAAGAAGUUUCACUUACUUUGUUUCACAUACUAUUCAAUGUGAUGGGUUAAACAAAUUUUUUUUAAUUCAUUUGAGCGAAGGAGGAGAAAAUUUAUUAUAACAAAAAUACGAAUAUUGCAGUUUUUUUUUUUUUUGUUGGAAAGUCUCAAGGUAAAGAUGAAUGUUUAGUAUGUUGUUUCGAGGUAAGAUCCAUGGGGGACAAAUGCUACCACGGCUGUUGCAAAAAAGAAAGAAUGGGAAAGGCCAGGCGUUUUAACAUGAAAGCGCGCACAUCUGGUGGACAAGCCGUUGAAAAGGGCGCGUCCUGUCCCGGUUUGUCCGUUUCGCAAGAAUACUUCAUUAUUUAUCCAUACGGCACACUCUGAAUGACGCUUAAGCCGUAAACCAGAAUUCUCGUCCCUUGCUUUCUUUGUUUCAAUGAGACCAAGAAGGUCAGAUUAUUUUAUAUUUUGCAGGCAAAAUGGGAAAGCAUCUCCCUUUGCAGCACGUCGUUUGCUCCAUAAAAAAGGGGGAGAAAAAAAUAAUCGUAACUACUACUGGAUUCUAUUGAACUUUCAUUGUCAAAAUUAUGAACUGGAGGGCUGACUAACUCUUGUAUAGAACAUUUCCUUUCCUUUCAGAUUUCUAAAGAUUUUGUUUUCAAUUUUUACUUUCAGGUAGUGUAUAUAUGCUGUUUGAAGUAAAAAGAAGAAAGAUUAUAAUUGGAAAAUUUAGUUCAAGAAAUUGUGAUAACCGUUUAGAAAAGAAUAACUUAUAGGAUGUAAAAUUUCUGUAUGCUAUUCUGCUCGGAACGUGAACUGUACUGUAACUUCCUGUUCCCUUCUUAGGGAGGCCAGGCAACGGUACCCUGUUUAUCAUGAAAAAAGGCCCCACUGAACCCUGAAAGCUUUCAAAAAAGCGUUAUCGUAAUCUAUAGUAGUACUCUGUCUUUUAGAAAAUAACUUGUAAGACCUUUUAACGCAUCUCUUUCGCACAUCGAUGGUUUCCUAUCAGUCUUGCGCAACAAUCUUUAAGAAGGGAAAAAAAAAAAGAAUUUUAGACUCUCGUCUAAUUAGCUUCUGUUUGAGAAUUUUUACAGCACUCGUUGUCAGUUUAACAACUUCCUUUGGAUCUUUUAUUCGUCUACUUUCUGUUUUUCUUAAAAAAUAAUUCUAUUCGCCUUAAAGUUAAAGAAAGAGAAGAUUAACGAAAAAAUUAAUUAAUUUAAGAUCUCAAACAAUUAAACUAAGAUCUGGUUUUUAUUUUCUUCUAAUAAACUUUUAUACGAUCUUUUAUCAGAUAAAUAAACUGUAUAACAUAUUUAUACAAACUUAUAUUCUCACGAACACAAGUUGAAGAGAUGAAAUUUAAAAAACGAUCAAUUCUCAAGAUUUUAUACAUUUUGUGUAUAUUAUGAAUUUUUGCCACUUAAAAUUUCACCACACAGUCCACUGAUACGAAAUUAUCAAUAAAAGUUGAUCGAUAUUCUCUAA
Molecule: long non-coding RNA, 4193 nt
Organism: Frieseomelitta varia
Lineage: Eukaryota; Metazoa; Arthropoda; Insecta; Hymenoptera; Apidae
Exons: 3
Source: RefSeq, a predicted model, not a curated record